Molecule: ribosomal RNA, 301 nt
Filed under: uncultured bacterium
Lineage: Bacteria
Description: partial 16S ribosomal RNA
Rfam family: Bacterial small subunit ribosomal RNA
Source: RNAcentral
CAGCAGCCGCGGUAAUACGUAGGGUGCGAGCGUUAAUCGGAAUGACUGGGCGUAAAGGGUGCGCAGGCGGUUAGUUAAGACAAGUGUGAAAGCCCCGGGCUCAACCUGGGAAUGGCAUUCGUGACUGGCUAACUAGAAUAUGGCAGAGGGAGGUAGAAUUCCACAUGUAGUAGUGAAAUGCGUAGAUAUGUGGAGGAAUACCGAUGGCGAAGGCAGCCUCCUGGGUCAAUAUCGACGCUCAGGCACGAAAGCGUGGGGAGCAAACAGGAUUAGAUACCCCUGUAGUCCCUGUCUCUUAUAC